RNAcentral lists this long non-coding RNA (1468 nucleotides) under Salmo salar (Atlantic salmon). Its description in RNAcentral is "lncRNA (ENSSSAG00000088270.1)". Lineage: Eukaryota; Metazoa; Chordata; Actinopteri; Salmoniformes; Salmonidae. The record is from RNAcentral.
GUGUGGUGAUUUACAAUUAGUGGAGUGGGAACAGGUGUGGUGAUUUACAAUUAGUGGAGUGGGAACAGGUGUGGUGAUAUACAAUUAGUGGAGUGGGAACAGGUGUGGUGAUUUACAAUUAGUGGAGUGGGAACAGGUGUGGUGAUUUACAAUUAGGGAGUGGGAACAGGUGUGGUGAUUUACAAUUAGUGGAGUGGGAACAGGUGUGGUGAUUGACAAUUAGUGGAGUGGGAACAGGUGUGGUGAUUUACAAUUAGUGGAGUGGGAACAGGUGUGGUGAUAUACAAUUAGUGGAGUGGGAACAGGUGUGGUGAUUGACAAUUAGUGGAGUGGGAACAUGUGUGGUGAUUUACAAUUAGUGGAGUGGGAACAGGUGUGGUGAUUUACAAUUAGUGGAGUGGGAACAGGUGUGGUGAUAUACAAUUAGUGGAGUGGGAACAGGUAUGGUGAUUUACAAUUAGUGGAGUGGGAACAGGUGUGGUGAUUUACAAUUAGGGAAUGUGGGAACAGGUGUGGUAAUUGACAAUUAUUGGAGUGGGAACAGGUGUGGUGAUUGACAAUUAGUGGAGUGGGAACAGGUGUGGUGAAAUACAAUUAGUGGAGUGGGAAAAGGUAUGGUGAUAUACAAUUAGUGGAGUGGGAACAGGUGUGGUGAUUGACAAUUAGUGGAGUGGGAACAUGUGUGGUGAUUUACAAUUAGUGGAGUGGGAACAGGUAUGGUGAUUUACAAUUAGUGGAGUGGGAACAGGUGUGGUGAUUUACAAUUAGUGGAGUGGGAACAGGUGUGGUGAUUGACAAUUAGUGGAGUGGGAACAGGUGUGGUGAUAUACAAUUAGUGGAGUGGGAACAGGUGUGGUGAUUUACAAUUAGUGGAGUGGGAACAGGUGUGGUGAUUGACAAUUAGUGGAGUGGGAACAGGUGUGGUGAUUUACAAUUAGUGGAGUGGGAACAUGUGUGGUGAUUUACAAUUAGUGGAGUGGGAACAGGUGUGGUGAUUUACAAUUAGUGGAGUGGGAACAGGUGUGGUGAUAUACAAUUAGUGGAGUGGGAACAGGUAUGGUGAUUUACAAUUAGUGGAGUGGGAACAGGUGUGGUGAUUUACAAUUAGGGAAUGUGGGAACAGGUGUGGUAAUUGACAAUUAUUGGAGUGGGAACAGGUGUGGUGAUUGACAAUUAGUGGAGUGGGAACAUGUGUGGUGAUUUACAAUUAGUGGAGUGGGAACAGGUGUGGUGAUUUACAAUUAGUGGAGUGGGAACAGGUGUGGUGAUUUACAAUUAGUGGAGUGGGAACAUGUGUGGUGAUUUACAAUUAGUGGAGUGGGAACAGGUGUGGUGAUAUACAAUUAGUUGAGUGGGAACAGGUGUGGUGAUUGACAAUUAGUGGAGUGGGAACAGGUGUGGUGAUUUACAAUUAGUGGAGUGGGAACAGGUGUGGUGAUUGACAAUUAGUGGAGUGGGAACAGGUGUG